This is a non-coding RNA of Xyrichtys novacula (pearly razorfish), 4583 nucleotides long. NCBI's taxonomy places the organism in Eukaryota, Metazoa, Chordata, Actinopteri, Labriformes, Labridae. The record is from the annotation of a GenBank genome assembly.
GGGCUCAGCUGGUGCCGAGCCCCUUCUUUAAUAUUAGCCGGAGCACUAGUUGACAUUCAUGUGAGCCUCCGCUAAAGCAGGGGCACGAGGCUUUAAAUCACUGUCAGGGCUCCACACAGAGCUGCACACAUAACUUCUGACUCCACUCUGUUGGUUAGGAGCAACAGCAGAUGAUCUGGACUUAAGCUAGACAAAUAACUGCCCUCCACUUCCUCCCCCCCUCACCCUCCUCACCCUCCUCCCAGUCUGCUCCGGGCUGCUUUAGUCAAUAUCCGGUCCUGCUUUUCCUACUUCUCAUUCCUGGCCUCUCCCUGCUCAGCCCUUAUCUCUCUUCACUCUUUAUUGCCCUCUUCAUCUGAGGGCUGUUGUUUAGAUUGACAUCUGCCACGACGGCUGAUAAAGACCAAACCGUCCCUCUCACGACCAUCAAAAUCCAAUUCUUGGGUAAAGACGGGAUCAUGCUGUGACGAUACUUCCUCGAACUCAUCAGGCUGCAGAUUACUGCAACAAAAAAAGAGCAGAAUUCAUGAUGAUCUGGACAAAGAGCUGACCUCCCCACCAAAUGGACCACUGCUGUCGAUCAGCUGCUGUCCUUCAGCCCCGUAUCAGGCUGAAACACACACACACACACACACACACAGUGAAGCACUGGAGCACUAACAUGUCAGCAUAAUGAAAUUAGACAGCCUCGUUUGUGACGCUGCAUUGUCCUUGUUCAUCGGUGGCACCGUUCCCACCACACACGGCCUCCUCACCCUGUCCGGAGCUGAGCGACCAGGAUAUUGCUAAUCGCUCACAAUAGAAGGAUUAGCAAGCAAGGACAAUAGGGAUCUAAAUGUCAGAGGCCAGCACCUGCCCUAAGCCCUCUCUGUCGGACAACAGUUAAUGGGCAGCAGGCGGCGGGCAAAUUGUGAAGCGCCGCUCGAAAGAGGAGGCGGGGAGAGGAGGCCUCCGGAGAAAACUGAUGUACAUACAGCUGAAGACAUUUAAAUUUACGACACAUGUCCACAGAUUAAUGUUGGAUAAUAAUCUGAAAAUAUGACAUUUAUAUACUCAGGGAUAGUGAGCACCGCCCACAUUUAAUAAAAGGGAAAUGAAUAAAAACUAAAGUUUAAUUCAGAAAUCAGACAUUGGAUUAAUUCUAAAUCAUAAACCUGAAUUCUCAUUUCAUGAAAUUCCACCUCUGAAGAACAUUAAGGUACAUACUAACUAAACAAGAGGGUACUUUGUUUACAUUCACAUUUUAACUAAAUACUUUAUGUACAUUAAUACUUCAUUUACAUUCUAACUAAUAUUUUGUUCACAUUUUAAUUUAACCAGAUGGCACUUUGUUUACAUUUAGAGUUUAACUGAAUACUUUGUUUACAUUAAUACUUUGUUUAUAUUUUAACUUAACCAGAAGGUAGUUUGUUCACAUUUUAACUAUAUACUUUGUUUAGCUUUUUACAUAACCAGAGGGUGCUUUGUUUACAUUUAUACUCUUUUUACAUUUUAACUGUACCAAAGGGUGCUUUGUUUAUAUUUAUACUCUUUUUACAUUUUAACUGUACCAAAGGGUGCUUUGUUUAUAUUUUAGCUUGUUUACAUUGGUAAUUUGUUUACAUUUAACUUAACCAGAGGGUACUUUGUUUACAUUUUAACCUCAUACUUUGUUUACAUUUUAACUUAAUGCUUUGUUUACAUUAAUACUUUGUUUAUAUUUUAACUUACCCAGAGGGUACUUUAUUUACAUUUUAACUUAACAAGAGGGUACUUUGUUUACAUCUUUAGAAAAACAACAACAACCAGAGGUAAUUUGUUUUUUUUUUCAAAGUCCAUCUUUGGGGCGCUUUGUUAACAUUUAAUAGCUCAGAAAAUGCAGCUACAGGUGCUUUAUCCACAUUUAUGCUUUAUGGUAUUUUUCACGUGAUUAUCACUGUAAGGGCACCAGAUGAGCUUUUUUUGGUCCUUCAUCCAGUUUAAAACAUCUAAGAGUGCACUUAUGUGUUAUUGUUCAAACAUGGCCAUGGGGGGGCAAAGGGAGGUUUGCCCUUCUACUCCCUCUCUAAGCACGCCACUGCUGCCCCCCUCAGGCAGAAGGACCAGAUAGUCAACACAGAUGUGAAUGUAAAUGAGAUGCACGAUGAGUCAAAGUGGGAAUGCCGAGUAUUGGUGAGAGGCUGAAUAGCUUCGUAUAUCAUCCAACUAUAAAAGUCAUUUCUCUCUUAAUGUCCAAAUUAAGUCCAAGUGAGAAGCGAGCGAGUGAAAAAUGCCGCCAUUCCAGCAGACUUCAGGACCAGCUGAGUUUCUAUGAAAUUCCUUGAGCGUGUUUUAUGAAGCUCCUUUUUAUACCGAGGUGUUUUCACUUCCUUCAGCCGUCGUACUGCUUCAGCUGCAGCACUUCCAUUAAUUUGUAGCUUAGCCUUCAGCUAAACAAAACACUACCACUGCUGCAAUUUAAUAGGCAAGGCACAGCGCUGUAGAGAGAGCGAAUGAUGUUGAGUGUCACUGGUAUAAAAAUCAUUGUCUCAUAAUAGCUGACUCUCAGGAGAAAGCUGGUAUUCUUUACUGACUGCCUGCCUUCUUCAAAGCAAGGGCAAAGCUGUUUUGAGAAACACUAAACGAAGUGUUUUUUCACGCAGAGCAACCCUACAGCCAAGAACUUUUUCAGAUGCCACACUCGAGCUUUUCUCUCCAUUUCCUCUUGCAUACAUUUCUAUAAACCCACCGAGCGCGGCCUUGGCUUCUGAAGGUAAUUGUCUCACCCUCGCUGCUUCACUUACAGUGCAGAGCAAGCACAGGACUAAUCUUAUCAGUGCAUGCAGCUCUCUACAAGCCAGACACCUUCAAUGCCAGCUCUCACCUCCUGAUCAAUACAGAUCAGUCCUGGGGAAAUAUGGAGAGCUGUUAUCAGCUGAGAGUGAUAAUAAACGUCGACUAUCUCCAGAGUUACACAGGCUGACAGCUCAGGUGGGCUGUGGAGAACUUAGUCAAACUUAUUACUGUUCGUCUUUUAAUGAACUGAGCUGCCACCAAAGGGAAGACAUCGCUGUGUUGUCCCACAUUACUACAAUAAAAGCUCCAGACACAGCAGCUUCCAUACCUAAAAAACAGUCACGGAAACAACAUCCAUCUUCAUGUCAGAAAAAACCAACAGUUCCUUAUUAAAGACCUUCAGCCAGGAAGUCAGUCAGCCUUGUUUUACCUCCUCUGACUGUGAGGACCUUAGUCGUAAAAGUAAUGUUCAGCACAGUAACACAAAGAAAUAAUCCAAAUGUCAGACAGAGCAGCGCUGCUCCCGCUAACCCAACCUCGGUCCACUAACACAGUCUUAUACAUCAACACUGGGCCCACCCACCCACCCAGCUCCCAUGAUGCUUUACAACAACCAGCAAACAGUGGUGGUUCAUUUAUGUCGAUGAUGAUGUUUCAAUUUCUUCAAUUAAAGGGAUAUCCCGGCAUAAAAUUAAUUUAGGGUCAAACCCACCGUAACACAGUUAGACCCCCCCUCCAGAGAUGAAUGUUGCCGACCGCUUGCUUCUCUAGUUAUACCAACUUUAGCAACGACCCCAGGAUAGAAAUACAGAGAGCCACGCCCUCAACCAAAACGCCACUCUAUAGCCACAAAUAAUGCUCAGAACAGCACCUAACUUCAUCAACAGGACAUAUAGGGUCACAGACAUAGUACUAGACACCAAACAUCUUUUUAACUUUGACUCAUUUCUUUAGCAAAGAGACUAAACACAACUCACCUACUCUCUUCCAGCAGCUGCUUGUUUGUAGUGAGACCUCAGGCUAGUCCAUUAUGGACUACAGCGGGGUGACGCAGCUCAAGGAAGAACAUUUAUGAUCAAAAUACAAACCGUGCGUUUCUGUUCCAGCCUGAGCGAGUAACAAAGAUUCGUCUCUUUUUUUACUUCCUUUAGUUUUCUCCUGUUUGACUUCAGGUCAGGCUCAGACUAGUUCUGGUCCCGUUGAGGUGAAAGCAUGCAAAAGAAAACUGACCCAGAAUCACAUCAUGGGUUUGUUAGUCGGACUAUGAUUACAACUCAGUCAGACUGGAAUGUUUUCUCAUUUUUUAAAGUCCAGGUUCAGUCAAAAGGACGCCAUAUAUGGACUCCUAACAUCUCAUAAACGGACUGUGACAAAAACUUUUCUUUCCAACAUGAAGGAUAUUUUAAUUAGUGGGAGGUGAAGUUUAAAAUAUAAUCAGAGACAGUUAUCAUAACCUAACUUUAUGUCACCCUACUAGGGGCGGGUCCUUGGUGUUCUCGCCUGUCAGUCAAGUCAUUUGUGCCUCUGAUUCGAUUACAUUGAAUCAAACUUGGGCUCUCUGAGCUACGCCAACUUGAACAUUUUGCAUACAGCCUCCAGUGGACACUGAGAGAACUGCAGUUUUUAACACUUACCUGAUCAGUCUGACAUCUACCUGACGUCGGAGGUUAGAAACAUUCAAAACUGGACACUGACCAUCUGCUCUGCUUUUGUAGGUUAUGUGGAAACAGCAGCAGCAGCAUUAGUUCCAGCCUGUUUCAUAACCUCCUGAAAACUCCUCACAGGAGCUUUAAACCGUCAUCACGUGCAGAGAUGUGACCCACUUCAGA